This 391-nucleotide ribosomal RNA is filed under the name uncultured bacterium. RNAcentral describes it as "bacterial SSU rRNA". It matches the Rfam family "Bacterial small subunit ribosomal RNA", at positions 28 to 420 of the family's 1533-position model. The record is from RNAcentral.
GACGAACGCUGGCGGCGUGCUUAACACAUGCAAGUCGAGCGGUAAGGCCCUUUCGGGGGUACACGAGCGGCGAACGGGUGAGUAACACGUGGGUGACCUGCCCUCAGCUCUGGGAUAAGCCUGGGAAACCGGGUCUAAUACUGGAUAUGACUCCAUGACGCAUGUUGUGGGGUGGAAAGCCUUGUGCGGCUGAGGAUGGGCCCGCGGCCUAUCAGCUUGUUGGUGGGGUGANGGCCUACCAAGGCGACGACGGGUAGCCGGCCUGAGUGGGCGACCGGCCACACUGGGACUGAGACACGGCCCAGACUCCUACGGGAGGCAGCAGUGGGGAAUCUUGCGCAAUGGGCGAAAGCCUGACGCAGCGACGCCGCGUGAGGGCUGACGGCCUCGG